RNAcentral lists this ribosomal RNA (485 nucleotides) under uncultured bacterium. Its description in RNAcentral is "bacterial SSU rRNA". It matches the Rfam family "Bacterial small subunit ribosomal RNA", at positions 12 to 518 of the family's 1533-position model. The record is from RNAcentral.
UUCGAUUCUGGCUCAGGACGAACGCUGGCGGCAUGCCUAACACAUGCAAGUCGAACGGGGGUAGCAAUACCCUAGUGGCGAACGGGUGAGUAACACAUAAGCAAUCUGCCCUUCACAGGGGGAUAACAGCGGGAAACUGCUGCUAAUACCGCAUAAGACCACGGUACCGCAUGGUACAGGGGUAAAAACGAAUCAGUGGUGAAGGAUGAGCUUAUGUCCCAUUAGCUAGUUGGUGAGAUAACAGCCCACCAAGGCGACGAUGGGUAGCCGACCUGAGAGGGUGAUCGGCCACACUGGAACUGAGACACGGUCCAGACUCCUACGGGAGGCAGCAGUGGGGAAUAUUGGGCAAUGGAAGGAAACUCUUACCCAGCAAUGCCGCGUGAGUGAAGAAGGUCUUCGGAUUGUAAAGCUCUUUGAUUGGGGACGAAGAAAGUGACGGUACCCAAAGAACAAGCCCCGGCUAACUACGUGCCAGCCGCCGC